Molecule: long non-coding RNA, 258 nt
Filed under: Lathyrus oleraceus (garden pea)
Lineage: Eukaryota; Viridiplantae; Streptophyta; Magnoliopsida; Fabales; Fabaceae
Description: Pisum sativum (pea) long non-coding RNA (PSAT_LNC037603)
Source: RNAcentral
UAUUUGACUUUUUUUUAAUUUUCAAUUUGAUUUUAAUUUCGAAUUAAGUUUAAUUCCAAAUUUCAAUUUAAUCUUAAUUAUUUAUUUUACUAAUGAUUCAAACUCUAAUUGAUUUUUAUUUUCAAAUAAAUGUUAGAAUUGAUAUCAAAGUAAUUUUAACAAAUUAUAGAUUAAUUUGAUUUUAAUUUGGUUUUUUACUGAUUUUUUAUUAUUAUUUAAAUUGAUAUUUAAAUUAGUCUUGGAUCAUCUCUAAGAAUC